ACUGAUAAAGGCAAACCCGGUGGAAUCCGGGGACGCAAAGCCACGGGACCAGUUAGGUCAGCCGGGCCACCCCUA
This 75-nucleotide non-coding RNA is filed under the name Arthrobacter sp. RNAcentral describes it as "c-di-GMP sequence". It matches the Rfam family "c-di-GMP-I riboswitch aptamer". Rfam says of the family: GEMM was predicted in a large-scale screen for bacterial structured RNA regulatory elements. Lineage: Bacteria; Bacillati; Actinomycetota; Actinomycetes; Micrococcales; Micrococcaceae. The record is from RNAcentral.